This 467-nucleotide ribosomal RNA is filed under the name uncultured bacterium. Its description in RNAcentral is "partial 16S ribosomal RNA". It matches the Rfam family "Bacterial small subunit ribosomal RNA", at positions 28 to 506 of the family's 1533-position model. The record is from RNAcentral.
GACGAACGCUGGCGGCGUGCUUAACACAUGCAAGUCGAACGGAAAGGCCCUGCUUUUGUGGGGUGCUCGAGUGGCGAACGGGUGAGUAACACGUGAGUAACCUGCCCUUGACUUUGGGAUAACUUCAGGAAACUGGGGCUAAUACCGGAUAGGAGCUCCUGCUGCAUGGUGGGGGUUGGAAAGUUUCGGCGGUUGGGGAUGGACUCGCGGCUUAUCAGCUUGUUGGUGGGGUAGUGGCUUACCAAGGCUUUGACGGGUAGCCGGCCUGAGAGGGUGACCGGCCACAUUGGGAAUGAGGUACGGCCCAGACCCCUACGGGGGGGAGGAGGGGGGAAUAUUGCAAAAUGGGCGGAAGCCUGAUGCAGCAACGCCGGGGGCGGGAUGACGGCCUUCGGGUUGGAAACGGCUUUCGCCUGUGACGAAGCGUGAGGGACGGUAAUGGGUAAAGAAGCACCGGCUAACUACGG